UCAGGACGAACGCUGGCGGCGUGCCUAAUACAUGCAAGUCGAACGGUCUUUCUAUGGAAGCUUGCUUCCACUGAGAAGAUAGUGGCGAACGGGUGAGUAACACGUGGGUAACCUGCCCAUAAGAGGGGGAUAACAUCCGGAAACGGGUGCUAAUACCGCAUAGUUUUCUUGAUCGCAUGAUUGAGAAAGGAAAGACGGCCUUUGUGCUGUCGCUUAUGGAUGGACCCGCGGCGUAUUAGUUAGUUGGUGAGGUAACGGCUUACCAAGACGAUGAUACGUAGCCGACCUGAGAGGGUGAUCGGCCACAUUGGGACUGAGACACGGCCCAAACUCCUACGGGAGGCAGCAGUAGGGAAUCUUCCGCAAUGGACGAAAGUCUGACGGAGCAACGCCGCGUGAGUGAAGAAAAGGUUUUCGGAUCGUAAAACUCUGUUGUCAGAGAAGAACAAGUUGGAGAGUAACUGCUCCAGCCUUGACGGUAUCUGACCAGAAAGCCACGGCUAACUACGUGCCAGCCGCCGC
This 522-nucleotide ribosomal RNA is filed under the name uncultured bacterium. Its description in RNAcentral is "bacterial SSU rRNA". It matches the Rfam family "Bacterial small subunit ribosomal RNA", at positions 24 to 518 of the family's 1533-position model. The record is from RNAcentral.